GAACUGAAAUCAAGAAUUGAUAGUAUUGUGGUUUCAGAGUACACAAAAAGCCCUUUUGUGGAAAUGUGAGCAUUUCCCCACAGUUCUUCUGAAGGUCAAACACAAAGCAGAAGAGACAUACGAAAGUGAAGCUUGCAUGUAGAUUGCUGCUGAGCAUGAAAUUCUGCAGAGCGUCUGCCUACGUGCACUGUCCUUGUCCUUUACCUUUAGGUUGUGCUACUGAACUCUCCAGGCAGCUCUGAGCUCGUGUGAAGCUCUGAGAGUAUCCUGGAGGCUGCUUCUGUCUAAGGAUUUCGGAGCUGCUCUUGCAUUUGGGUCACUCCAGAAGGUCACAGAGGUCCGGGCUGGGCAAGGACAUGCAAUGUGCUGUAACUCUGGACUGUAGAAAUGGAGAAUUGCAUGCAGCAGGGAACUGCAACCAUUUUCCUGAAGUGCAUCACAGCUCAACUCAGAGAUUGUCUCCUAGUCCCUCUCCCCUUCUCUACACAACUGGGCAGAACAUCUCCCAUCACGCUGGUGUUUUUAAUAUUACCUGGGCAACUGGAACCUUGCUUUACAUUGGAUUACAUUGUAUUUUUAGUUUAUUUUAAUGCAAUUUAGCAGCUAGAAACAAAGAGGAAAUUUAAUAUCAGUCAGACCUCUGCAGACUGCUAGUAAGUACUCCAUGGACCACAGCAUGGGAGACGCAUUAAUAUUGCAUUUACUGUAUAUCAUGCCUUGUGUCUGAGAAUUUAAAAUCCCUUUGCAUGCAGUUAAACUAAUCACUUCUCAUUUCACUAAAGAAUAUCACUUUGAUCACAGCUGAUUCGCAAUUAAGUGCUGAACCUAAAUGAGUGGAUGGGGCUGACCUAGGCAAAAGACUUGAAAAGCAAGGAGGGAAGCCCAGCAAACAGGAGUUUGUGUGGAAGUUGUCCUUGGUGAGAAAAAAAAAGAAGUCCUUGUUCCUGGGAGGCAAAGGAAAGAAGAUAAUGAUGGUGAUGGAGGUAGUAGUGCAAGUGAACCCAAGCAUGGAAGAGAGCGAAGAAGCAAAAACCUGGAGGAUGUACAUUAUCCUUGUGCAGGAACCUGAUGGAGGAGGAAACAAAAAGGCAAAAGCCACGAGGGAAGGUUUAACUGUGGAUCACUCGGCUCUCAGCAGGUGGCCUUGCCAAACAUGAAGAUCUCGUUCUGAAGAAUGUGAGAGAAGUGGAUUCUGCUUGUGAGCAUCUCAUAGCCUCUUUAAAUCAAGUGUUUCUUGUGUCAGCUACCCACCACGUCAAGGAAUCGGACAUAAGCAGCAUUCUUUCCCAGACUGGAAAUCUAUGUUCUCUGCUCCCUCUCUCGGGGUGAGCCAUGGCUUUUUCAAAAAGCAUCUCCUCUGAGCAAGAGGUUCAUCUUCAUGGUCUAUGAAGAGAAAGUAUAAUUGCUUUGGAGGGCUCUGCACAUCUCCAAGGCCUGGUCCCAACAUUAAUGAUUAGAGGAAGGAUUCCCUGUGAUGUCCACUUAAAACAUGCACUGCUGAGACCAUCGCAGGGGAGCAGUGUGAAAAGGGAUAGGACAGACCUAUCUAGUCUUGUUACUGCAAGGAAAAGCUGCUCACCUG
Alligator sinensis (Chinese alligator) is the source of this 1582-nucleotide long non-coding RNA. RefSeq lists it as uncharacterized. The transcript is spliced from 3 exons. The record is from RefSeq and is a predicted model, not a curated record. Lineage: Eukaryota; Metazoa; Chordata; Crocodylia; Alligatoridae.